GUCGCCGUCACCGCCGCGCCGUCACCGCCGUCUCCAUCACUGUAUCGUCGAGCCGUUUUGCUGCAACACUUAGUAUCAGGUAUGGGAGCUGACGAGGUUACAGUGGAGCAGACUCCUUCUGGAACAACGUCUGAAUCUAUUGAAGCCUUGCUUGAGGCUGCCAGAUAUGAUGAUUUGGAUGAUGUCAUGAGCUUAGCAUCUUCUGGUGUUUCUCUUGAUUCAAAGGAUUCCGAGGGACGAACAGCACUUCAUAUGGCUUCAGCAAAUGGGCAUUGUGGCAUUGUAGAGUAUCUUAUUCGUAAUGGAGCGGAUGUUAAUGCUUCCAAUGUGGAGAAAAAUACACCUCUUCAUUGGGCUUGUCUAAAUGGACAUAUCGAGGUAGUGAAGACCUUAAUCCUUGCUGGUGCAACUGUCUCAGCCUUAAAUAGCCAUGAGAGGACUCCAAUCGACGAGGUCGUGUGUAGGGGUAAAAUGAACGUCAUCGAUGCGAUCAACGAGGCGGUAGCACAACUUGAACUCACUGGCACAACGGUAUCAUAAGAAGUCGAAAUUUUACUUGUACAUUUUUCAUGUGAGGAUGCAAAAAUCUUGCUGGUGGUCAUUGUGUACAAUGUUUUCUAGCCUCUCUUUCAAGUAUUAUGUAAGGUUUGAACUUCUAGUGCUCUCUCAUAUCAUAUAUUUGGUGACUAAGUUGACAAUGGCAAAUGAUGCAUACUCCAUUAUGUUAGUGUCAAUUUCCUUGACCAAUUUAUCAAGUCAGUUCUACAAGGACAGCUUUUCUUUAAUCAGUUUCGAAAGUUGAGAGAUUCCGAGAUGUUUGGAUUUUCCAUGGACAUGCUGAAGAAAAA
Molecule: unclassified non-coding RNA, 848 nt
Filed under: Hevea brasiliensis (rubber tree)
Lineage: Eukaryota; Viridiplantae; Streptophyta; Magnoliopsida; Malpighiales; Euphorbiaceae
Source: RNAcentral